This 24-nucleotide non-coding RNA is filed under the name Arabidopsis thaliana (thale cress). RNAcentral also lists the same sequence under 1 other name. Lineage: Eukaryota; Viridiplantae; Streptophyta; Magnoliopsida; Brassicales; Brassicaceae. The record is from RNAcentral.
AGUCCGGAGACGUCGGCGGGGGCC